Molecule: unclassified non-coding RNA, 337 nt
Filed under: soil metagenome
Description: partial contains 5.8S ribosomal RNA, internal transcribed spacer 2, and large subunit ribosomal RNA
Rfam family: 5.8S ribosomal RNA (bases 2-121)
Source: RNAcentral
GGAUGAAGAACGUAGCGAAAUGCGAUAAGUAAUGUGAAUUGCAGAAUUCAGUGAAUCAUCGAAUCUUUGAACGCACAUUGCGCCCGCCAGUAUUCUGGCGGGCAUGCCUGUUCGAGCGUCAUUUCAACCAUCAAGCCCCAGGCUUGUGUUGGGGACCUGCGGCUGCCGCAGGCCCUGAAAACCAGUGGCGGGCUCGCUGUCACACCGGGCGUAGUAGAUUUUAUCUCGCUCAGGGCGUGCUGCGGGUUCCGGCCGUUAAAAAGCCUUUUUUACCCAAGGUUGACCUCGGAUCAGGUAGGAAGACCCGCUGAACUUAAGCAUAUCAAUAAGCGGAGGA